GUGUCAGCAGCCGCGGUAAGACGUAGGGGGUCAGCGUUGUUCGGAACUACUGGGUGUAAAGGGUUCGUAGGCGGUGUGGCAAGUUGGGUGUGAAAUCUCUGGGCUCAACCCAGAGACUGCUUCCAAAACUGCUGUGCUUGAGUGUGAGAGAGGCUCGUGGAAUUGCAGGUGUAGCGGUGAAAUGCGUAGAUAUCUGCAGGAACACCCGUGGCGAAAGCGGCGAGCUGGACCACUACUGACGCUGAAGAACGAAAGCUAGGGGAGCAAACAGGAUUAGAAACCCUCGUAGUCC
This 292-nucleotide ribosomal RNA is filed under the name uncultured bacterium. Its description in RNAcentral is "partial 16S ribosomal RNA". It matches the Rfam family "Bacterial small subunit ribosomal RNA", at positions 505 to 796 of the family's 1533-position model. The record is from RNAcentral.